GUCAAUGGCCUAACGGCUGAACUGGCAACUUGGAGAAGUGGCAAGUCUUCCAGUAUGGGGAGCAAAACAGCUAUGGGUCAAGUCCGAUAUCUUUAGGAGAAGUCUUAUUGUGAGGGCGAGUUAUAUAACACCAUAGGACUGGCCGUCCCAUAUGAAAAGAUUAUAUUAGAAUUGAAUGAAGCUUUGUUUAUAUAUUGAUAAUGACAGUAUAUAUAUCGUGUCUUGACUAAUUGCGUGCCAGCAGUCGCGGUAAUACGUAAGAGACUAGUGUUAUUCAUCUUAAUUAGGUUUAAAGGGUACCCAGACGGUCAAUAUAGCUUAUAAAAUGUUAGUACUUGACUAGAGUUUUAUGUAAGAGGGCAGUACUUGAGGAGGAGAGAUGAAAUUUCGUGAUACCAAAGGGACUCUGUAAAGGCGAAGGCAGCCCUCUAUGUAAAAACUGACGUUGAAGGACGAAGGCACAGAGAACAAACAGGAUUAGAUACCCAAGUAGUCUUUGCAGUAAAUGAUGAAUGCCAUAGGUUAGAUUGAUCAAUUAUAGUCUAGGGUUAGUCUAGCAAACUAAUGCCCUAUGAUAUAAUUCAAAAUAUCUGGUCUAUAAAUGAAAGUGUAAGCAUUUCACCUCAAGAGUAAUGUGGCAACGCAGGAACUGAAAUCACUAGACCGUUUCUGACACCAGUAGUGAAGUAUGUUAUUUAAUUCGA
Molecule: ribosomal RNA, 704 nt
Filed under: Fusarium oxysporum
Lineage: Eukaryota; Fungi; Ascomycota; Sordariomycetes; Hypocreales; Nectriaceae
Also listed under: 2 other names
Description: SSU rRNA
Rfam family: Bacterial small subunit ribosomal RNA
Source: RNAcentral